GCAAUACACGAAAGUGUGACAAGGCUAUCCCGAGUGCCAUCCGCUGAGGAAGGCUUUUACCCAGUAUAAAUAGCUGGGAGAAUAAGGAGAGGGCAAGUCUGGUGUCAGCCGCCGCGGUAAUACCAGCUCUCCGAGUAGUGUGGAUGUUUAUUGGGCCUAAAGCAUCCGUAGCUUGCUAAGCAAGUCCCCUGUUAAAUCCACCGAUUCAAUCGUUGGAUUGCGGGGGAUACUGUUUGGCUAGGGGACGGGAGAGGUCGACGGUAUUUCCGGGGUAGGGGUGAAAUCCUAUAAUCCCGGGAGGACCACCAGUGGCGAAGGCUGUCGACUAGAACGCGCCCGACGGUGAGGGAUGAAAGCUGGGGGAGCGAACCGGAUUAGAUACCCGGGUAGUCCCAGCUGUAAACGAUGCAGGCUAGGUGUUUGGGCGGCUACGAGCCGCCCUAGUGCCGCAGGGAAGCUGUUAAGCCUGCCGCCUGGGGAGUACGGCUGCAAGGCUGAAACUUAA
This 505-nucleotide ribosomal RNA is filed under the name uncultured archaeon. Its description in RNAcentral is "bacterial SSU rRNA". It matches the Rfam family "Archaeal small subunit ribosomal RNA", at positions 352 to 859 of the family's 1478-position model. The record is from RNAcentral.